RNAcentral lists this ribosomal RNA (468 nucleotides) under uncultured bacterium. RNAcentral's name for it is "partial 16S ribosomal RNA". It matches the Rfam family "Bacterial small subunit ribosomal RNA", at positions 28 to 507 of the family's 1533-position model. The record is from RNAcentral.
GACGAACGCUGGCGGCGUGCUUAACACAUGCAAGUCGAACGGAAAGGCCCUGCUUUUGUGGGGUGCUCGAGUGGCGAACGGGUGAGUAACACGUGAGUAACCUGCCCUUGACUUUGGGAUAACUUCAGGAAACUGGGGCUAAUACCGGAUAGGAGCUCCUGCUCCAUGGUGGGGGUUGGAAAGUUUCGGCGGUUGGGGAUGGACUCGCGGCUUAUCAGCUUGUUGGUGGGGUAGUGGCUUACCAAGGCUUUGACGGGUAGCCGGCCUGGGAGGGUGACCGGGGACAUGGGGACUGAGAUACGGCGCAGACUCCAACGGGAGGCAGCAGGGGGGAAUAUUACACAGUGGGCGGAAGCCUGAUGCAGAAACGCCGCGUGCGGGAUGACGGCCUUCGGGUUGUAAACCGCUGUCGCCUGUGACGAAGCGUGAGUGACGGUAAUGGGUAAAGAAGCACCGGCUAACUACGUG